ACACAUGCAAGUCGAACGAUGAACCACUUCGGUGGGGAUUAGUGGCGAACGGGUGAGUAACACGUGGGCAAUCUGCCCUUCACUCUGGGACAAGCCCUGGAAACGGGGUCUAAUACCGGAUACGACACUCUCGGGCAUCCGAUGAGUGUGGAAAGCUCCGGCGGUGAAGGAUGAGCCCGCGGCCUAUCAGCUUGUUGGUGAGGUAACGGCUCACCAAGGCGACGACGGGUAGCCGGCCUGAGAGGGCGACCGGCCACACUGGGACUGAGACACGGCCCAGACUCCUACGGGAGGCAGCAGUGGGGAAUAUUGCACAAUGGGCGAAAGCCUGAUGCAGCGACGCCGCGUGAGGGAUGACGGCCUUCGGGUUGUAAACCUCUUUCAGCAGGGAAGAAGCGAAAGUGACGGUACCUGCAGAAGAAGCGCCGGCUAACUACGUGCCAGCAGCCGCGGUAAUACGUAGGGCGCGAGCGUUGUCCGGAAAUUAUUGGGCGUAAAGAGCUCGUAGGCGGUCUGUCGCGUCGGAUGUGAAAGCCCGGGGCUUAACCCCGGGUCUGCAUUCGAUACGGGCAGACUAGAGUGUGGUAGGGGAGAUCGGAAUUCCUGGUGUAGCGGUGAAAUGCGCAGAUAUCAGGAGGAACACCGGUGGCGAAGGCGGAUCUCUGGGCCAUUACUGACGCUGAGGAGCGAAAGCGUGGGGAGCGAACAGGAUUAGAUACCCUGGUAGUCCACGCCGUAAACGGUGGGAACUAGGUGUUGGCGACAUUCCACGUCGUCGGUGCCGCAGCUAACGCAUUAAGUUCCCCGCCUGGGGAGUACGGCCGCAAGGCUAAAACUCAAAGGAAUUGACGGGGGCCCGCUCUAGCAGCGGAGCAUGUGGCUUUAUUUCGACGCCACGCGAAUAACCUUUCCUAGGCUUGACAUACACCUGGAAACGGCCAGAGAUGGUCGCCCCCUUGUGGUCGGUGUACAGGUGGUGCAUGGCUGUCGUCAGCUCGUGUCGUGAGAUGUUGGGUUAAGUCCCGCAACGAGCGCAACCCUUGUUCUGUGUUGCCAGCAUGCCCUUCGGGGUGAUGGGGACUCACAGGAGACUGCCGGGGUCAACUCGGAGGAAGGUGGGGACGACGUCAAGUCAUCAUGCCCCUUAUGUCUUGGGCUGCACACGUGCUACAAUGGCAGGUACAAUGAGCUGCGAAGCCGUGAGGCGGAGCGAAUCUCAAAAAGCCUGUCUCAGUUCGGAUUGGGGUCUGCAACUCGACCCCAUGAAGUCGGAGUUGCUAGUAAUCGCAGAUCAGCAUUGCUGCGGUGAAUACGUUCCCGGGCCUUGUACACACCGCCCGUCACGUCACGAAAGUCGGUAACACCCGAAGCCGGUGGCCCAACCCGUAAGGGAGGGAGCUGUCGAAGGUGGGACUGGCGAUUGGGACGAAGUCGUAACAAG
RNAcentral lists this ribosomal RNA (1441 nucleotides) under Streptomyces scabiei. RNAcentral's name for it is "16S ribosomal RNA". It matches the Rfam family "Bacterial small subunit ribosomal RNA". Lineage: Bacteria; Bacillati; Actinomycetota; Actinomycetes; Kitasatosporales; Streptomycetaceae. The record is from RNAcentral.